GACGAACGCUGGCGGCGUGCCUAAUACAUGCAAGUAGAACGCACAGUUUAUACCGUAGCUUGCUACACCAUAGACUGUGAGUUGCGAACGGGUGAGUAACGCGUAGGUAACCUGCCUGGUAGCGGGGGAUAACUAUUGGAAACGAUAGCUAAUACCGCAUAAUAUUAAUUAUUGCAUGAUAAUUGAUUGAACGAUGCAACUGCAUCACUACCAGAUGGACCUGCGUUGUAUUAGCUAGUAGGUGAGGUAACGGCUCACCUAGGCGACGAUACAUAGCCGACCUGAGAGGGUGAUCGGCCACACUGGGACUGAGACACGGCCCAGACUCCUACGGGAGGCAGCAGUAGGGAAUCUUCGGCAAUGGACGAAAGUCUGACCGAGCAACGCCGCGUGAGUGAAGAAGGUUUUCGGAUCGUAAAGCUCGGUUGUAAGAGAAGAACGGGUGUGAGAGUGGAAAGUUCACACUGUGACGGUAUCUUACCAGAAAGGGACGGCUAACUACGUG
RNAcentral lists this ribosomal RNA (505 nucleotides) under uncultured bacterium. RNAcentral's name for it is "partial 16S ribosomal RNA". It matches the Rfam family "Bacterial small subunit ribosomal RNA", at positions 28 to 507 of the family's 1533-position model. The record is from RNAcentral.